GACGAACGCUGGCGGCGUGCUUAACACAUGCAAGUCGAACGGAAAGGCCCUGCUUGCAGGGUACUCGAGUGGCGAACGGGUGAGUAACACGUGGGUGAUCUGCCCUGCACUUCGGGAUAAGCCUGGGAAACUGGGUCUAAUACCGGAUAGGAGCCAUUUUUAGUGUGAUGGUUGUAAAGUUUUUUCGGUGUAGGAUGAGCUCGCGGCCUAUCAGCUUGUUGGUGGGGUAAUGGCCUACCAAGGCGGCGACGGGUAGCCGGCCUGAGAGGGUGGACGGCCACAUUGGGACUGAGAUACGGCCCAGACUGCUAAGGGAGGCAGCAGUGGGGAAGAUUGCACAAGGGGCGCAAGCCUGAUGCAGAGACGCCGCGUGGGGGAUGACGGCCUUCGGGUUGUAAACUCCUUUCGCUAGGGACGAAGCUUUUUGUGACGGUACCUAGAUAAGAAGCACCGGCUAACUACGUG
This 465-nucleotide ribosomal RNA is filed under the name uncultured bacterium. RNAcentral describes it as "partial 16S ribosomal RNA". It matches the Rfam family "Bacterial small subunit ribosomal RNA", at positions 28 to 507 of the family's 1533-position model. The record is from RNAcentral.